RNAcentral lists this long non-coding RNA (577 nucleotides) under Equus caballus (horse). Its description in RNAcentral is "lncRNA (ENSECAG00000043979.1)". Lineage: Eukaryota; Metazoa; Chordata; Mammalia; Perissodactyla; Equidae. The record is from RNAcentral.
GGAUUCUGGAGCCAGGAAGCCAGAGAGUAAGCAGAGAAUGGGUGUUUUGGUUUUAACCCCAUACAUGCUGGGUUUAAUGUAGGGAAACUGAUAUCAGUGUUGGUAUCACUACCACCUCUGAAUUUUGUGGUCUUAAUGAUUUCAGAUGGUUAGUCUCAUCUUUCAAAGUUGAAGGUGGACCUCAUCCAAUCAGUUGAGGCCUUCAUCAAAAAAAAGACUGACUCCCUCAAAGAAGAUGGAAUUCUACCAGCAGUUGGCCUUUGGACUCAAACUGCUACAUUGACUUUUCCCUGGAUCUCCAGCCUGCUGACCUACCCUGAAGAUUUUGGACUUGCCAGUCUCCAUGAUUGCUUGAGCCAAUUGUCUCUCCAGUGGUCUCUACUAACGAAGUUCAAGAUCCAGCCAGCUUGCAAAGAAAAAUACUUAAAGGGCCCGGCACAGUCGUUACCCAGCAAGUAAAACGGAGCUGAGAGGCAAUAACCAGCACAUCGUACAUGUUCUUUUCUAAGCUAGAAUAUAUAGACUAGUGUUUAUGGUUCUAUGUGAUAAUUAACAGGUUCUAAUAAUAGCAUUCCAG